AGACAUGACAGGAGGCCCAGCAGUCACCGCCUUCCCCUGCACCCUCACUGGGACCCAUGCAGGGCACAUCAUCAUUGAUGGCAUUGACAUCGCCAAACUGCCGCUGCACACCCUGCGCUCACGCCUCUCCAUCAUCCUGCAGGACCCCGUCCUCUUCAGCGGCACCAUCCGAUGCCAUCAUCACAGAAGGCGGGGAGAAUUUCAGCCAGGGGCAGAGGCAGCUGUUCUGCCUGGCUCGGGCCUUCGUGAGGAAGACCAGCAUCUUCAUCAUGGACGAGGCCACGGCUUCCAUUGACAUGGCCACGGAAAACAUCCUCCAAAAGGUGGUGAUGACAGCCUUCGCAGACCGCACUGUGGUCACCAUCGCGCAUCGAGUGCACACCAUCCUGAGUGCAGACCUGGUGAUCGUCCUGAAGCGGGGUGCCAUCCUUGAGUUCGAUAAGCCAGAGAAGCUGCUCAGCCGGAAGGACAGCGUCUUCGCCUCCUUCGUCCGUGCAGACAAGUGACCUGCCAGAGCCCAAGUGCCAUCCCACACUCGGACCCUGCCCAUACCCCUGCCUGGGUUUUCUAACUGUAAAUCACUUGUAAAUAAAUAGAUUUGAUUAUUUCCUA
Molecule: small RNA, 612 nt
Filed under: Pan troglodytes (chimpanzee)
Lineage: Eukaryota; Metazoa; Chordata; Mammalia; Primates; Hominidae
Description: retained intron
Source: RNAcentral